GAAGUUUUCCUGGCAUGAAAAAGUAAAUCAUGCACAAAGUUAGUUGAACAACAUUUUAUACAUCACUCAUCCUGUUACAUCCAUGAAGCUGAUCCAUUUCCCUAUAAGG
RNAcentral lists this long non-coding RNA (109 nucleotides) under Chrysemys picta bellii (western painted turtle). RNAcentral describes it as "Rhabdomyosarcoma 2 associated transcript conserved region 4 (ENSCPBG00000002321.1)". It matches the Rfam family "Rhabdomyosarcoma 2 associated transcript conserved region 4". The record is from RNAcentral. Lineage: Eukaryota; Metazoa; Chordata; Testudines; Emydidae.